AUGAAGAGGUGGUUGAGCACUUUAUUUGGACUUCUGUGUGUGCAGGUUUUAUGUGUGAGAGGGGUGCAGGUGGACCAGAACCCUCCAGUCCUGAGCCUCCAGGAGGGAGACAGCUACACCCUGAGGUGCAAUUUUUCUACUUCUGUGAGCAACAUGCAGUGGUUUCGUCAAAGUCCCGAAGGACAUCUCAUCAGCCUCUUUUACAUUCCUUCAGGAACAAAGCAGAAUGGAAGAUUAAACGCCACGACAGUAACUAAAGAACGUCUCAGCUUACUACACAUUUCCUCUUCCCAGACCACAGACUCAGCCAUUUACCUCUGUGCUGUGGAGCCACAGUGCUUCCCCAGCACCUGCUGCCUGUAA
Elephantulus edwardii (Cape elephant shrew) is the source of this 363-nucleotide non-coding RNA. Lineage: Eukaryota; Metazoa; Chordata; Mammalia; Macroscelidea; Macroscelididae. The record is from the annotation of a RefSeq genome assembly.